RNAcentral lists this ribosomal RNA (3528 nucleotides) under Triticum aestivum (bread wheat). RNAcentral describes it as "partial small subunit ribosomal RNA". The record is from RNAcentral. Lineage: Eukaryota; Viridiplantae; Streptophyta; Magnoliopsida; Poales; Poaceae.
AUGGAGACGGAGCCACCCAAAGUGCUCGCUUCUCUCACCGUACUGUUGCUGCUGGCGACGGCGCUCGCGCCGGUGCCCGGAGAACAAGCGAGGGCACUCCUCGUCUGGAAAGCCAGCCUCAGCAACCAAAGCCAGCACGCCCUACGGUCUUGGGAGAACAUGUCCGCGCCCUGCAGCUGGCUCGGAGUCAGGUGCACAGCGCACCGACGCUGGCGCCAGACGGCGAUCAGCGGCAUCUCUCUAAGGGGGAUGCGGCUGAGAGGGACGCUAGAGUCCCUCAACUUCUCGGCCCUCACAACCUUGACGUGCCUUGACCUCUCGCACAACUACCUUGCCGGGGCCUUCCCUCCUGGCAUUGGGGUCCUCAGAGAGCUCCAAGCUCUUCUCCUGCAAGGCAACCAGAUAAGAGGGUCAGUUCACCUUGGCAAAAUGAGCAGUAAUCUUGUGACCCUCAAUUUGUCAAUCAAUCACUUAGCUGGUCACAUCCCUUCUGAAAUAGGCCACCUAAGGCACUUAGUUACAUUAGAUUUGUCUAGUAACAAUCUUUCCGGCUCAAUCCCAAGCAACAUAGGUGGUCUAACAAAACUCACCACCUUGAACCUCUUUGAAAAUAAUCUUUCAGGCAAUAUUCCAAGAGAAUUAGGUUAUUUGGUAAACUUAGAAGAUUUUGAUCUUAGUGAAAACACACUUUCAGGUUCCAUCCCAAACAGCUUAGGAAAUUUGACAAAACUCACCACCUUGCAUCUUUUUCAGAACCUGCUUUCUGGGCAAAUUCCACGGGAACUAAGUUACCUGGUUAUCUUAGAGGACUUAGACCUUAGCAACAACACACUCUCAGGUUCCAUUCCAAGAAAUUUAGGUAAUUUAACUGAGCUCACUAUCUUACGUCUUUGGGUCAACAGACUCUCCGGCCAAAUUCCAAGAGAAUUAGGUUACCUUGUGAACUUAGAGAACUUGGAUCUUAGCAACAACACACUCUCGGGCUCUAUCCCAAUAAUUAUAGGGAACUUGACAAAACUCACUUAUUUGUCCCUUUUUCAGAACCAACUUUCUGGUAAAAUUCCACGAGAACUAGGUUACCAUGUGAACUUACAGGUCUUGGAUCUUAGCCAAAACACACUCUCAGGUUCCAUCCCAGACAGCUUGGGAAAUUUGAUAAGACUCAAAACCUUGCAAAUUUUCCAGAACCGACUUUCUGGACCAAUUCCACCAGAAUUAGGUUACCUUGUGAACUUAGAGGGCUUGGAUCUUAGCAACAACACACUCUCAGGUUCCAUUCCAAGAAAUUUGUGUAAUUCGACCAAACUCACUUUCUUGCGCCUUUGGAAAAACAAACUUUCUGGUCAAAUUCCACGAGAAUUGGGUUACCUUGUGAACUUAGAGAAUUUGGCACUUCAAGAAAACACACUCACAGGUUCUAUCCCAAUCACCAUAGGGAAUUUGACAAAACUCACUCUCGUGUACCUUUAUCGCAACCAACUUUCAGGGUCUAUACCUCAAGAAAUUGGCAAGUUAAUGAGUUUGGUUAAGUUGGACCUUGCUUUCAACAACCUCUCCGGUUCCUUGCCAUCUGGACUUUGUGUGGGAGGUCGGCUACAAAAUUUAGUCGUUGUUGGUAACAACUUGGUUGGACCAUUGCCAUCAAGCUUGCUAAAUUGUACAAGCCUAGUUAGGGUUCGACUUGAACAGAAUUACCUUGAAGGAGAUAUCACCGGGAUGGGAUCUUAUCCAAAUCUUGUCUAUAUUGAUAUCAGUUCGAAUAAACUAUUUGGCCAAUUAUCUCAUAUUUGGGGUGAGUGCUACAAACUUACUGUGCUACGUGCCUCAAACAAUCAUAUAACUGGAGUAAUACCAUCAAGCAUAGGGAAAUUAUCUAUGCUAGGGAUACUUGAUGUUUCAUCAAACAAGCUUGAAGGACAGAUUCCACCGGAAAUUGGUAAUGUAAUGAUGUUGUUCAAUUUGAGCCUUUCCGGCAACUUACUGCGGGGAAAUAUGCCACACGAAAUUGGAUCAAUGAACAACUUGGAGUAUCUAGAUUUAUCAUCAAACAACCUAACUGGGCAGAUACCAGACUCAAUUGGACACUGCCAAAAGAUUCACUUUCUAAAGUUGAGCCAUAAUCACCUCAAUGGUAUAAUUCCUAUUGAACUAGGAAUGUUGGUAAACCUACAAGAUCUGUUGGAUCUCAGUGACAAUUCAAUUGAUGGCAAUAUUCCAAGUGUGUUAGGAAGUCUCGGUAUGCUUGAAGCCUUGAAUCUUUCUCACAAUGCACUGAAUGACAGCAUUCCACCAUCAUUUCAAAGCAUGACAAGUCUCCUAUCCAUGGAUGUGUCAUACAACAAAUUGGAAGGACCAUUGCCACAUACUAGGUUCUUCGAAAAAGCUCCAAUCAAAUGGUUCCGGCAUAAUAAGAAAUUGUGUGGUGUUGUGAAAGGUUUGCCCACUUGUGAUCUUCCUCGAAGUAGUGAACAAGGAAAAAAGUCUGGGGCUAUUUUACUAGCUAUUAUACCAAUUGUUGUAUCUUUUGUGUUUAUGACUGCAGUAGUAACAUGGCAAUGCAAAAAGAAAAAACCAAGGACAGGAACUGCAAAUGAAGUACAACAAACCAACAUGUUCUCCGUCUGGAAUUUUGAUGGGGAAGAUGUGUACAAUAAAAUUGUUGAUGCCACAAAAAAUUUCAGCAGCUCUCAUUGCAUUGGAACGGGAGGGAAUGGAUCUGUCUAUAGAGCUCAGUUACCAACUGGUGAAUUAUUUGCAGUGAAAAAGAUCCAUAUGACGGAAGAUGAUGUGCAAUUUAACCAAGAAAUACAAGCCUUGAUGCAUGUUCGACAUCGCAACAUUGCAAAGUUGUUUGGUUACUGCUCUGCAACUCAGGGAAGAUUCCUUGUGUAUGAGUACAUGGAUAGAGGUAGCUUAGCAGCAACUUUGAAGGGCAAGGAAACUGCAAUUGAAUUGGAUUGGACGAGGAGGUUAAAUAUUGUUUGUGAUGUUACUCAUGCUUUGUCUUACAUACAUCAUGAUUGUUUCGUGCCGAUAGUCCAUAGAGAUGUAACAAGCAACAACAUUUUGCUUGAAUUGGAAUUUAAAGCGUGCAUCUCGGAUUUUGGUCUAGCAAAAAUACUAGACGUGGAAGCAUCGAACUACACAAGUCUUGCUGGUACAAAAGGAUAUCUUGCUCCAGAUCUUGCAUACACAACAAGGGUGACAGAGAAGUGUGAUGUUUAUAGUUUUGGAGUGCUCAUUCUAGAGUUGUUUAUGGGACAUCAUCCACGUGAUUAUCUUUCAUCUAUGGACAAGAGAAGCACAUUACUUGAGAAUUUGUUGGACACACGGCUUCCACCCCCUGAAGUUGAGAUCACAAGUGAAAUAUUCAAAGUGGUCACGGUCGCGGUUCAGUGCAUAGAACCGAAUCCAUCACACCGUCCAACAAUGCAGCAGGUGGCCAAGGUGUUGUCAAGAGCUGAACGACCUGCUAACGAUCUUGAUUAUCUCCAUGUUGACAUUAUCAUCCCUGCUUGUUGGUCAUGA